This is an RNA transcript of Leptidea sinapis, 815 nucleotides long. RefSeq lists it as uncharacterized. The transcript is spliced from 8 exons. The record is from RefSeq and is a predicted model, not a curated record. NCBI's taxonomy places the organism in Eukaryota, Metazoa, Arthropoda, Insecta, Lepidoptera, Pieridae.
ACUUGUAUCCUAUUCAACAGACAGAAAUUAACUCAAAAUGAAAAUCUUUUUCUUCGCGUGUAUGCUGCUAGUGGCAAGCGCAUCAGCGCUGCCCAAACAAUCUGUUGAAGUUGAAGUAUUGGAAGAUAACGCUAUUGAUGCACAAGCGAGGGAAGCUCGUCUGGUUAGCAACACUAUUAGGAGAAUUAUUGAAAACUUAAAGAGGGAGAUCAGAGACGCGGGAUUGGACCCAUUAUUCAUCGAAAGAUUUGACUAUGAAUACAAUGUGCCAUUUGUCGUCAACAUCAAAGUCUUCGUAGACAACCUUUCCUUCUCUGGCAUCAGCAACAUCGUCAUUCGUACCAUGGAUUACAACUUAAUACUCAACAGACUACGAUUUGACCUUUCUAUGCCAAGAAUCAGUUUAUCUGUUGAAAACGCAGGUAUAACUGCAAGAGCAUUAUUCCAAGACCAUAAAGCGAGCGGAAAUGGAUUCCUCAACAUUAACGAAAUCCGUGUAGUCGGUGAAGUUCGUGUUAAUAUCGGUAUCAUAUCCGGUAUUACAAUCCGCAGCAUUGAUAUACAGUUCAGCCUGGGCGGUAUCAAUGCUGACAUUAACGUUGUAGUACUUGGACAAGACUACUCUGACAUUGUGAAUGAAGUGCUCAACGAUUGGAUUCCCUCUCUCUUGAAACAGUAUGAGGUAGAAAUAAACGAGGCGAUUGCUGACCUCAUUAAAUUCAUCGUCGACUGGGUGCUGUAAAUGAAAUUAUUGAAAAAAUUGCAUGUUUCUCCAUAAGUAUGAAUAAAAAUCUUGUAUUUUAAUGCUAUAUAAA